UGGGGAAUUUUGGACAAUGGGGGCAACCCUGAUCCAGCCAUCCCGCGUGUGCGAUGAAGGCCUUCGGGUUGUAAAGCACUUUUGGCAGGGAAGAAACAGCCUGGGAUAAUACCCCGGGCGACUGACGGUACCUGCAGAAUAAGCACCGGCUAACUACGUGCCAGCAGCCGCGGUAAUACGUAGGGUGCAAGCGUUAAUCGGAAUUACUGGGCGUAAAGCGUGCGCAGGCGGUUCGGAAAGAAAGGUGUGAAGUCCCAGGGCUUAACCUUGGAACUGCACUUUAACUACCGAGCUAGAGUACGUCAGAGGGGGGUAGAAUUCCACGUGUAGCAGUGAAAUGCGUAGAGAUGUGGAGGAAUACCGAUGGCGAAGGCAGCCCCCCUGGGAUGAUACUGACGCUCAUGCACGAAAGCGUGGGGAGCAAACAGGAUUAGAUACCCUGGUAGUCCACGCCCUAAACGAUGUCAACUAGCUGUUGGGGUUUAUUAACCUUAGUAGCGCAGCUAACGCGUGAAGUUGACCGCCUGGGGAGUACGGUCGCAAGAUU
RNAcentral lists this ribosomal RNA (547 nucleotides) under uncultured bacterium. RNAcentral's name for it is "partial 16S ribosomal RNA". It matches the Rfam family "Bacterial small subunit ribosomal RNA", at positions 355 to 895 of the family's 1533-position model. The record is from RNAcentral.